Quercus lobata is the source of this 960-nucleotide long non-coding RNA. RefSeq lists it as uncharacterized. The transcript is spliced from 3 exons. The record is from RefSeq and is a predicted model, not a curated record. NCBI's taxonomy places the organism in Eukaryota, Viridiplantae, Streptophyta, Magnoliopsida, Fagales, Fagaceae.
AGCCAAAAAAAAAAAAAAAAAAACACAACUGGCAAGAACAACGCCCAUGUGCACUACGCACAUGGGCAUUUUGGUCAGCUCAAAUUGAGCUUUUCUCCCACCAGUUUUCUCCUUAUUUUGGGGGCCCAGAGAGAACACCCGGGCUGUAAUACCCCAAUUUUUGUUUUUUUUUAUGAUUAUCACUGUACCUUGUCAAUCUUAUUAUAGAGUUGAGGUAGUAUAUGUGUGUGCACAGUAAGAUGGGAGUAGACAAUUUUUGUGGUGCUACAAAUAGGUGAGAAAUUAAAAUUUUAGUGCAUACAAUUUGGUGCGGCAAUUAAAAUAAUAAAUAAGAAGGAUGAAGAUGUUUUAUGGGCUUCUUGGAGACUAAAGAGAUAAGCUCAAGAGGAUUUUAAAGUCCAGCCCAUUAUUCCACCAAGCCCACAUCAGAUUAAAAUAUAAAGGGGAGGAAAAGAUAAAUUAGGGUUUCAUCACUAAGGAGGCUAAGAGGUGUUUCUUUUCUUGGAGUUUGGAGCACAUACGAUUGAAGAGGCAAAAUUGUUUAGGGGCUUAAGAUUUGGGCUACGAAAUCAAGGUCUUAUUUAAGAGUGUUUUGAGGCCUUUGGAGGUUGUUUCGGCUGGACUUUCAGAGGGAUUCAAGUACUAUUAAAGUUUAGUUGGGGGAACAGAACCUUUGGAUUGCUUCGUAAGGUGCAAGGUAGAGCGUGGGAGUUUUAGGCGAAGUCAAUAAUACUGGAAGUCUUAAAAGAUUAUUAGUUAUUUCUUUUUUUUCCGCUUUAGAUUGCACUGUUUUUUGGAGAUUAUUCUAAAUUUGAGGAGUUUGGAUUUUGUAAGAGGUUUUAUUUAAGAGUAUUGUUUCUUUGGAGUUUUUAAUUUAUUUUGGAUUAAUUACGUUUAUGGAGUUAUAUAAGUUUAGUAGUUUGGUCAUGCAUCUAAAUUCAUGUUCCAUGGAUUUGGGUC